RNAcentral lists this microRNA precursor (135 nucleotides) under Cucumis melo (muskmelon). Its description in RNAcentral is "miR399f stem-loop (cme-MIR399f)". Its record names the gene cme-MIR399f. Lineage: Eukaryota; Viridiplantae; Streptophyta; Magnoliopsida; Cucurbitales; Cucurbitaceae. The record is from miRBase by way of RNAcentral.
GGCAGGGCAAUUCUCCUUUGGCAAAAAUGCAUAAACACAAAUACAUUUAUAUAAAUGCAUUUUUUUUUUUUUUAAAAGAAAAGAGUGACUGUUGUUUCAUUCAUGUUGUUGCCAAAGGAGAAUUGCACUGUCAUU